AAUAGAGAGAUAUUAUGCAGCAAUCAUUAAACGCCAAAUGCUCAAGUGCAGCAUCUUUGAAUAGUUAGUACUAUAAGAAUUAACAAUCAAACUGAUUAGUUCAUUACAGCAAAAAAGAGAGUCUGUAGUUGAUCAUCCAAGUCAUAAGAGCACACGGGUGUUGCGAAGGCCUGCUAAAAAUAAUGUUUGAAUUGCCUGUAGUGGAGCUAGCAGCCUUGCACUAAAGAAUUCUAGCACGUUCUGCACCCUUAAUUGCCACGAUUUCUCAGCAAAAAAACACAUUAGUUGUAGCCUUCUCAAAAAACAAAGAUGUGGGUGGGAAUUUGAGAUACGUUAAAAUGAAAAAUAUAUAUCAUGAUUGAUAUAGCAGUCAAGAUUUCAAAGAGAUGGAACAAUUUUGGAAUCUUGAGUUAGAGGGUUGGCAGUCUAAUUCUAACGUUUGGCUGACAUUAAUGGUGCUUUGCUUUUAGAUAGAGAAGCACAAAAAAUUGCACAAUAGAAAUGAUGGCGAUCAUAACAGAAGGCAACAGUUAAAGGAUGAAGGGGAGACUUUGAAAUGAUUUUUUUUUUUUUUGAGUGAUUGGAGCCAAGUUAAGGGUGUAGUGUGACAGAAGCCAUGUCAUUAAGUUUGAAAACUUGCUUUUGCUUGAGAAGAUAACCCGCUAUCUUUGGGAAGACAGGUAGACUUCUACAACUACUCGGUCUACGCCCUACUGAUACACUUUCUUUACACAGGGGCUGAGACAGGCUGGCUGAAAGAGGAGAGGAAGGGGCUUGAGAUACUC
This 785-nucleotide long non-coding RNA is filed under the name Durio zibethinus. RNAcentral describes it as "long non-coding RNA (DZIB_LNC000149)". Lineage: Eukaryota; Viridiplantae; Streptophyta; Magnoliopsida; Malvales; Malvaceae. The record is from RNAcentral.